CGUCUUGGUCAAUGAUUUUAGGUGCUUGCACUUGAAUGAUUUGACAUUGAGACGAGUGGCGAACUGGUGAGUAACACGUGGGUAACCUGCCCUUGAAGUAGAGGAUAACACUUGGAAACAGGUGCUAAUACUGCAUAACAACGAAAACCGCCUGGUUUUCGUUUGAAAGAUGGCUUCGGCUAUCGCUUUAGGAUGGACCCGCGGCGUAUUAGCUAGUUGGUGAGGUAACGGCUCACCAAGGCAAUGAUACGUAGCCGACCUGAGAGGGUAAUCGGCCACAUUGGGACUGAGACACGGCCCAAACUCCUACGGGAGGCAGCAGUAGGGAAUCUUCCACAAUGGACGAAAGUCUGAUGGAGCAACGCCGCGUGAGUGAUGAAGGGUUUCGGCUCGUAAAACUCUGUUGUUGGAGAAGAACGGGUGUCAGAGUAACUGUUGACAUCGUGACGGUAUCCAACCAGAAAGCCACGGCUAACUACGUGCCAGCAGCCGCGGUAAUACGUAGGUGGCAAGCGUUGUCCGGAUUUAUUGGGCGUAAAGCGAGCGCAGGCGGUUUUUUAGGUCUGAUGUGAAAGCCUUCGGCUUAACC
Molecule: ribosomal RNA, 589 nt
Filed under: Lentilactobacillus diolivorans
Lineage: Bacteria; Bacillati; Bacillota; Bacilli; Lactobacillales; Lactobacillaceae
Description: bacterial SSU rRNA
Rfam family: Bacterial small subunit ribosomal RNA
Source: RNAcentral